AAGACUAUAUUUGCAAGGAUCAUUUCUAGAGUGAAAAACAUGUUUUGAAGGGAUGGUCUCGGUAUCCCCCAGGAGGAGCGGGAGUGUUUCUUCUCAGGCAAACGAGCUGAAAAUGAGUGUGGUUUUUGGGCACCUGCUCUGCGGCUACUGAUGACCACUCCAAUCUUCAGUCGGUGGAUUGUUGAAGGAAGGGGACACAUUCUGAGUGGC
Molecule: small nucleolar RNA, 210 nt
Filed under: Felis catus (domestic cat)
Lineage: Eukaryota; Metazoa; Chordata; Mammalia; Carnivora; Felidae
Description: Small nucleolar RNA U3 (ENSFCAG00000052717.1)
Rfam family: Small nucleolar RNA U3
About the family: Small nucleolar RNAs (snoRNAs) are involved in the processing and modification of rRNA in the nucleolus. There are two main classes of snoRNAs: the box C/D class, and the box H/ACA class. U3 snoRNA is a member of the box C/D class.
Source: RNAcentral